UCCUGCGCUGCGCCCUCCCGGCGUGGGGCGUCGCGGUACCCGCCUCCGCGCUGCGCACAGACACCCCCACACCCUCGCCGCACCUACUCCGGCGCUCCGGCGCGGGCGGGAGGCGGAGCGGAGGGGUCGGGGGCGGUGUCGCCUCAGCCCAGGAGCUGCAGGUGGCGGGGGCGGCGGCGCUGGAGGUCCCCGAGAUAUGGCCGCCUCGGUGUUCUGCUGCCUGCGGUGCUGCAGAGAUGGCGGGACGGGCCACAUCCCUCUGAAGGAGAUGCCGGCCGUGCAGCUGGACACGCAGCACAUGGGAACUGACGUCGUCAUUGUAAAAAAUGGAAGACGAAUAUGUGGAACAGGAGGUUGUUUAGCCAGUGCACCUUUACAUCAAAACAAAAGCUACUUCGAAUUCAAAAUCCAGUCCACAGGAAUCUGGGGUAUUGGCGUUGCAACUCAGAAAGUUAACUUGAAUCAGAUCCCCCUUGGCCGAGAUGUACACAGUCUGGUGAUGAGAAAUGAUGGAGCCCUAUACCACAACAACGAGGAGAAAAACAGGCUGCCGGCAAACAGCCUUCCACAGGAGGGAGACGUGGUGGGUAUUACAUAUGACCAUGUAGAAUUAAAUGUGUAUUUGAAUGGAAAAAACAUGCAUUGUCCAGCAUCAGGUAUACGAGGGACAGUGUAUCCAGUUGUUUAUGUUGAUGACAGUGCAAUUUUGGAUUGCCAGUUCAGUGAAUUUUAUCAUACUCCUCCACCUGGUUUUGAAAAGAUAUUAUUUGAACAGCAGAUCUUCUGAAUGUAUUUGGUUUUGAAACUUGUAUUUCUAAACUGUUGAAAGUGUUUACCAUUUAAUAAAGCUUUACCUGACGUAUAGAUGAAAAUAUAUUCUUAAAAAUAUGCUUGUUAGUAUUGUCUAAGGAACCAGUAAAUACACUAUACCACCCUGAAGUUGUGAUUUAAAAUACUUAGGUUUUGUGAUAUGAAAUCAGCAUUUGGGGCGGUUUAUUUUAACUCUUAUUUAAAUAAAUAUAACUGUGGGUUUAAUUAACAGUAUUAAAUGGAAAUAUGUAUAUAGAUAUUUAAAAGGGAGUCUUUCUUAAUGUAAAAUAUUUGUAUUGAUAGAGACAGAGUCGGGUGGGUUUUUUGGUCAUUCUGAUGUUUAGACCUCAUUAACUGUUUUAAGUCUGCAGUCCAAUAAUUUUGUGUCUCAGUGUCUUUUUUUAUAUAGUGUAUAACAAAGUAACAAAUUUAUAUUAUUGGCAACUUCAGUUUUGGCAAUUUAGUUACCGUAAAAUGUACCACUUUAAAAAUGUUAACUGCUUGUUUUGUUUGUAUGCUGUUGUUUUUAAUUUUCUUUGUGAAAGAAGAUAAAUGUGAUAGUAAUUAUUGGAGCAUUUUGUUGAAGACCAUCAUGCUGUGUUACUUCAAUACCUGUGAAAAUUACCUAUAACCUCAGUCUUACCUUGAGAAAAACCAUCAGAUUCAUAACGGGGCAUCCUACAAAAUACUUGAGCAGUACUCUGAAGUGUCAUGGUCAUCAAAAACAAGGAAAAUCAGAGACACUCACACCCCAGGGAGCCUAAGGAAACAUAAGUCAAUGUAAUGUGCGAACCAGGAACAGAAAAGGAUAUUAGGUAAAAACUAAGGAAAUCUAAAUACAUCAUGGACUUUAGUUAAUAAUGUAUCAAUAUGUUUAUUACUUGUAAUAGAUGAACCAUAAAAAUGUAAGAUGUUAUUAAUGGGGGAAAUUGGAAGAGGGAACAUAUGGGAACUCUGUUCUACUGUCUCAAUUUUUCUGUGAAUCUAAAUUGUUCCAAAAAAUAAAGUCGCUUUAAAAACCUA
This is an RNA transcript of Dama dama (fallow deer), 1833 nucleotides long. It is a transcript of the gene named SPRY domain containing 7, with no coding region annotated. The transcript has 6 exons. The record is from RefSeq and is a predicted model, not a curated record. NCBI's taxonomy places the organism in Eukaryota, Metazoa, Chordata, Mammalia, Artiodactyla, Cervidae.